RNAcentral lists this ribosomal RNA (445 nucleotides) under uncultured bacterium. Its description in RNAcentral is "partial 16S ribosomal RNA". It matches the Rfam family "Bacterial small subunit ribosomal RNA", at positions 354 to 796 of the family's 1533-position model. The record is from RNAcentral.
GUAGGGAAUAUUGGGCAAUGGAUGCAAGUCUGACCCAGCCAUCCCGCGUGCCGGAAGAAGGCCCUCAGGGUUGUAAACGGCUUUAGACGGUGAAGAACCGACAGGAUGCGUCCUGUUUUGACGGUAGCCGUUGAAUAAGCACCGGCUAACUCCGUGCCAGAAGCCGCGGUAAUACGGAGGGUGCGAGCGUUGUCCGGAUUUAUUGGGUUUAAAGGGUGCGUAGGCUGGAAGGUCAGUCAGCGGUGAAAAGCUAUCGCUUAACGAUAGUCUUGCCGCAGAGACUUCCUUGCUUGGAUGAGGAGGAGUCCACUGGAUCCGAUGGUGUAGCGGUGAAAUGCAUAGAUAGCAUCCAGAACACCGAUUGCGAAGGCAGGUGGCUGUACCUUAAUCGACGCUGAUGCACGAAAGCAUGGGGAGCAAACAGGAUUAGAAACCCCUGUAGUCC